Molecule: ribosomal RNA, 466 nt
Filed under: uncultured bacterium
Lineage: Bacteria
Description: partial 16S ribosomal RNA
Rfam family: Bacterial small subunit ribosomal RNA
Source: RNAcentral
GAUGAACGCUGGCGGCGUGCUUAACACAUGCAAGUCGAACGGAAAGGCUCCUGCUUGCAGGGGUACUCGAGUGGCGAACGGGUGAGUAACACGUGGGUGAUCUGCCCUGCACUUCGGGAUAAGCCUGGGAAACUGGGUCUAAUACCGGAUAGGACGAUGGUUUGGAUGCCAUUGUGGAAAGUUUUUUCGGUGUGGGAUGAGCUCGCGGCCUAUCAGCUUGUUGGUGGGGUAAUGGCCUACCAAGGCGUCGACGGGUAGCCGGCCUGAGAGGGUGUACGGCCACAUUGGGACUGAGAUACGGCCCAGACUCCUACGGGAGGCAGCAGUGGGGAAUAUUGCACAAUGGGCGCAAGCCUGAUGCAGCGACGCCGCGUGGGGGAUGACGGCCUUCGGGUUGUAAACUCCUUUCGCUAGGGACGAAGCGAAAGUGACGGUACCUGGAGAAGAAGCACCGGCUAACUACGUG